ACCCUAUGGAAAUAAAAGCCUGAGCUCAGACAAAUUCAAGCUUCUCUUAACCAUCAAUCACAGCUGUGCUGAUAUUCCAAUAUGAUUUUGCUUUUACACAACAGCUCAAAGAUAAUACGUUAAUCUUGUGUGACUUCCAUUUAACACACAAUAUCACCAAUUAUGUUGUCUAUUUUUGCACCACCAGUGAAAAUAGUAUCAAACGAAGGCAAGGCAGAAACAUCAAACUGAGCAAAAUACAGCAAUGGUGUUCCUUUUUUUUUUUUUUUGGAAUGAAUCGGUUGAGUGAAUGAUUCAGUGACUCAUAGGGCCUGUCCAAAUACUUACAUGACAUAUUUCCUGCAUUUUGCCCAAGUGUUUAAGUGGACAUGAAAACCUUUGACAGAAUGAUUGAAAGGCUGGUUUACGACAAGGUUUUGGCCAAAACAUUGGUAAUCAAUAAAUUGCGCUUAAGAGUGAGCAGUUAGGCUGGUUUGUGAUGACAUAAUGCAUGUAACUCAGAGUGCAAAUUUAUGACACAGUAGUAUGUCCAAAAUGUAUUUUCUAAAAUCUCUAUUCUCUAUACUAAAUCUAUGUUCAUAAUAAGAGUACAUAUUUUUGGGGUAUAAGAAAGUGAAUUGGGUAGAGGGAAUGAUUCAUGACUCAUUCAUAAAGAUAGUAACUCAUCGCCACCUACUGGUGUAACAAUGUCAUUUGCAGAAAGAGUCACUGUAAAAUGCACUGAGACUGGGAGUCAGUCAAAUUCGAGGACCAGACCAAGUAGUUGUAAAAAACAAAUAAUAUUUCAUAAGUGCAUAAUACUAAACAAGGACUUUCACUCAGAUCGGAGCAAAAACAGUCUAUAAAUAGAUGAUGGAACUGCAAAUAUGAGGAGUGUUUCAAAAAUGCAUCAGUUAAGCAACCACACACUUCAAUGCUUUGCUGUUUAUUUGGGUGGUCUUAUCUGUACUCAGCAGGAAAAGGCAGUUUGAGGAUGAGAGAGAGCUCCACAUCUCCCUGAGAGGAUUCAGACAUGGAGGGGACGACACACAUCAAAGAAUCUGGAUGGGGCUGGCUAUGCUUUGACUAAGCCACACCCCUUCUCAACUUCCACCUCGAGGAGGUCCCCAAAGCCAACCCAAUGGCCAAACAACACGAGAACAAAUGGGCUAUGGCCGGGAAGAGGUCAGGGAGCAAGGGGGCCACGGGGAUCCGGGGCGUGGGACUCGGGCCCCGGCCUGAGUCUUAGGCAACGGCUGGGACCCACAGGCACAGUUAGUUCAGCUUGGUUUUGCUCUCACCUCUUCGCUGCUUACAGCUCACAGUACGUACUGGUUCACACAGUUCGUUCCUUGGGUGCUCACUCGCUGUCUCUUUCUCCACAGGCAGCGGCGUAAGUACAGGGUUCCUCGGUCUCUCCUCGUGUUACCCUCUCGCUCUCCUUUUCUCUCCACAGGUAUCAACUUGGACACAAAGCACAGUUACUCUGCUUUGGAUGGCUUUCACCUCUGGGCUGGACACAGCGUACCGCGCUAUCUCCGGAGAUCUGAAGCACGCUCACAACAUAAACUGUACUGAACUAGGCUAGGACCAGCAGUCUCCUUGUCCUCCCGCGACGAAGUGCGUGAAGGCGGGGGUUUAUCUGACAGGACACACGGCAAUACACAGCAGCCCACAGCAAUAUACAGCACCACGUCAAAAUUAUAGGUUUUCACAGCAUGAAGACUCACCCACCACACUCAGUGUACGAAAAGGACACCCGUCUUCCUUCACUUCGCUUGGUUCGGAUCUGGCGAUGGAAUAUGCGGCCUAGCUAGUGAUGUCGUCGUUGUGACUACUUCAAUAAGUAUUCUUUCGGCUCUCCCACCACGCUAUAUUAGGGGUAGGGCCGCCCUCCUCCUCCUGGAGAGAUCUACACAACGCCAGGUCAAUAUACAGGGCACUUUCGACUGGCUCUUAGUACUCACAUCAAUGCCGCUUCCAAUCCCCUUUUUCACGUCGUCUCAGUUCGCCGUAUAAUCCGUUCACUUCUCAACCUUUAAGGUUCGCGAUGUCUUCACAAUCAUACAAUUCCAGCCCGAGGCCGAGAGAGAGCUAGACAGCCGCCAGCAGCGCACCAAGACGCGCACAACACAGUGCUUCACACAUACCAGAAAGAACGCUCAGACUGUGAAAUAACUUGGCCUUAAGUACUGCCUCGUCCAGCGUAUCCUCCAAUCACCAACCGCUCUCCCUAACUAGGCACAGGCGCAUCGAAUUCCCUGAUUU
Long non-coding RNA from Cyprinus carpio (common carp), 2247 nucleotides. NCBI's taxonomy places the organism in Eukaryota, Metazoa, Chordata, Actinopteri, Cypriniformes, Cyprinidae. The record is from Ensembl.